GUGGAGCCUGGCGACUGCUUUGGGAAGUCCUGCUGGCAGGCACUCUGCCCCUGGGGGUGUGCAAAGAGUUGUCCAGUUACCUUGAUCUUCUCACAGCCUCCUCCCCAGGGCACCAGGAGAGACCAGGAUUGGAGGACGGUAAAGAACACACUUCCCAGAGGAUUCUUGGAGGUGGCUUCCUCCAGGCAGUAAAUCUACAGCCCAGGCUCCCUGCAUCUUAUGGCUCCAAUCACUUUGGAUCUCAUCGUCGCCUGCACAUUGCCAUACACAGGGAAGGAGAAGAGAUGGAGAAGGCAAAGACUUUCUGAAAGCCGUGGCUAAAAGCUGGCAUGUGUCACAUCAGCUCACAUUCCAUUGUAGAGACGGGGUUUCACCGUGUUAGCCAGGAUGGUCUUGAUAUCCUGACCUCGUGAUCCGCCCGCCUUGGCUUCCCAAAGUGCUGGGAUUACAGGCGUGAGCCACCGCUCCCGGCCUGGCAGGCAUUCUUGAGGCAAACGGGAAAUGGGGUAAGUUACACAAUCGAUACAGCUCCGUCAUCGUGGUUUAAUUACUUUUCCACGUACCAUGUUUCCUGACAGGUAGAACGAUCAGCCUGGGCCUCCGUUUUUCAUUCUACAAAGAAUGAAGUGCAUGAACUGUCCUCUAUAGAAUUGUGGAAAAAGUUGUUUUUAUUGAGUUGUGGUUAUCUUUGUCUUCAUGGUCUAAUUACGGAAAUAAAUGCUUUUCCGAGUCUCCGGGGAUGGUCUGCCCUAGUCCAGCUCUCUGCAGUGUCUUUCUGGGUUUUUCCUCAGUGAACGGGAGGAACAUUGGCAGCACUUGUGGUCUGCACCAAGAACUGAAUCGAAUUUCCAUGUGUUAUUGAAUGUUCACAAAGACCUUGUACAGCGAGUGUUACUACCUCUGGUCAAUGAUUCAACUCAAGGCUCAGAAAAGUCAAGUGUCUUGUCCAGGGACACUUAGUCAGAAGUGAAUCCAAGGUUUAAGCUCAAGUCUGCCUAACUCUGAAUUUCACAGCCUUUUGCUACAUAUGGCGAAUAAUAUAUCCCUGAGCACUAAAGGCAGACUCCAAGGAUCUUGUCUCUGCAAUCAUCAUUCUGGCCAUAAUUUAUGAAAAGCAACCCAAAGUAUGUGAUGUAAUAAAAAGUACUAUCUAUGAGUUUACCCUUCCAAAAAUUGAACUGAAUUCUGAGCUCUAAAUUUGGAAUCAAAAGAACUUUUCUCUGCACUAAUCAUUUGGAACAUCACUUAAAGAAAACAACGAAAAACUGGUGUCCCCUGAGAGAAAGCAAUACAAAACAUUAUGCAUAAAGAAAUCCUUCCAAAAAAUAAACCAAAUCCAGUCAAAUCUCUAGUUUUGACUCCUAGCUUACCGGAAAUACGUGAUGGGAAAAAAAUGAAAUGACACCACUAUGAUUCAAUCAGCCAAAUCCAGCAUAUGCAAAUUUCUACCAGAUAAAUGGUUUAGUUUCUUCCCCAAACAAAUGGCACAAGGAAACGGAGAUGGAGUUCCCCUCUGCCACCCAGACUGGAGUACAGUGGCGCGAUCCUGGCCAUCGCAACCUCCGCCUCCCAGAUCCCUCCUACAACACAUGAGAAUUGUGGGUGCUACAAUUCAAGAUGAGAUUUGAGUGGGGACAAAGUCAAACCAUAUCAUUAGAUAGGACACUGGAGAAAGGCAAGAAAGAAAAGACAUCUGAAGAAUGAAGGGAGCCAAAGAAAUGCCAACAUUUUGCUUUUUGAAGAAAAGCUAAAUUAAAGUCAAAAUGGAUUUAUCAAUUUCCUUGGGUUCGUGAAUGUACAGAACUUUAUUAAGACUGUCAUGCUGUCAUCAUGGCUGGAUCUGAUACGGCCACCGUGGACCUUGAGGUGACCUCGGGAAUGGAGACAGUGCAUGGGAGAGAAUCACAUUGGAAGGGGCCUGGGUUUCUGAAGACCCUGUAAGACAGAUCUCCUUGCAGCCCUGACUGCCCACAUUAGGGCUUUUAUGUUAGGGUGAAGUUACCUUGCAUUGUCAUAUAAGCAAUUGCUAUUUGUGGUGUCUUGCAAAUAAACCUAUUCUGAUCUAGUAUGUUUCCU
RNAcentral lists this long non-coding RNA (2076 nucleotides) under Homo sapiens (human). Its description in RNAcentral is "non-protein coding LINC00939:3". Lineage: Eukaryota; Metazoa; Chordata; Mammalia; Primates; Hominidae. The record is from RNAcentral.